GUUUGUAAUUUCUUUGCAUGUUAUUUUGGGUUGCUGAUGAUGACUAUAGUGUCAUUGGAGACUGUUUUGUUUUGGGUAUAUGGUUUUGGUGUAUGAUUUUUGGUCAGACUUUUGUUGUUGGUUGUUAUGUUUUUUUUUUUUUUUUUUUGGGGGGGGGGGGUUAGAUUUUAGAUUGGUGAUGAUGACUAUAGUGUCAUUGGAGACUGUUUGUAGUUUUGGUCUAUGAUGUUUUGUUGAGACUUUUGUUGUUGGUUUUCAUGUGUUUUCUUGGCUUUACAUUUUGGGUUAGUGAUGAUGACUAUUCGGAGGCUGUUUUUUUGGGGUUUGUGGUUUUGGUCUAUGAUGCUUUGUUGAGACUUUUGUUGUUGGUUGUGUAUGGAUUGAUGGGUAUUCAGUGUUGUUUUGUCAUUUUUUUGGUAAAACUUUAUGUAAUCAUGUAAUGUUGUUUUUUUGUGUUUCAUGUUACAUUCACAGAGUUUAGGUCGAUGAUGGUGACUUUUAUGUCACCUAAGACAUUUAUUUUUGUUUGCACGCUACCAAGUGUUUGACAGUUCAUUGGUCUUUGUAUAUCCAUGGGUUUUUGGUCGGUGAGGAUGACUCUUUAUUUUCCGAGACCGUUUACACUUUGCAUUUGCUUCUGUCAUGCUGUGGUUGGAAGACUAUUUAAUUUGGGUAUUACAAUACUGCGAUGAUGCUACGCUAAGACACUACAUGCAUGCUAUCAAAGCAAAAUCAAACAUGUCUUGAAGACCGUUAAGAGCCAUUAGGCCAAAAUGUAACACCCCAAUCACAUAACACGCGGCGGAAAUAUCGGGGAGUCACGUUACAAAUUGCUCACAACAACUGGGUGAUGGUAUUAAGGCGAUGGCACAAACAAAGGAAGUUGAACACUUUGACUCAAUGACACUGUUACAUUCGUUGAACAGGGUAACAACCUACAUCUGCAGCAAGUCCAUGGAUUACAUGGCUACCACAUGGUGCCUCGCUCAUCCUUGGUAGGAAAGCUAAGUUUACUCCUAUACCAGAUCUGGACAUACCUGAUGUAUACUUCCGAGUUUUCAACGUUUGAGAUGUUGAAUGACAAAGUGUAAAGCUACAGACUCUUGAUAUGUACAUUUAAAAACCAUAAAUAU
RNAcentral lists this long non-coding RNA (1133 nucleotides) under Helianthus annuus (common sunflower). Its description in RNAcentral is "hypothetical non coding rna". Lineage: Eukaryota; Viridiplantae; Streptophyta; Magnoliopsida; Asterales; Asteraceae. The record is from RNAcentral.